AGGGAAGAGCCCAGCACCGAAGCCUGUGGCCAUUUGGUCACUAGGCAAUGUGGUGUUUAGGUCAUCUCGCAGUGGUGCUGCCCCACCCUAAGUCCAACACUGAGUACGGUUGUUUGGAAAUGGCCCAGGGAGGGUGAAAGGCCCGUGGGGGUGGGGAUCACAGUGCUGCUAUGAGUAGACCUUGGAGUCGGGUUGUUUGUGAAUGCAGCCCAAAGUGGGUGGUAAACUCCAUCCAAGGCUAAAUACUGGCACGAGUCCGAUAGCAAACAAGUACCGUGAGGGAAAGUUGAAAAGUACUUUGAAGAGAGAGUAAACAGUACGUGAAACCGUUCAGAGGUAAACGGGUGGAGUUGAACUGCAAGCUCUGAGGAUUCAGCUGGUGAGCGUGGUUUAAGGCAUGGUUAUAACGGUCGUCCGUGCGGGUUCGCUUAACUGCGGGUCUCUGCCCUCGGGUGGGGAUGCUGGGGUACUUGUCAAGUACUACGCGCUCGUGAUGGUUCACCGGGCCGGCUUGCCAGUGCACUUUCUCGGAGUAGUCACCACGACCGGCGCUGCCGCUAGGCUGCUGGUGUUAAACCUGUCGUGUAUAGUCAUUGUGGCUUUAUGCGGUGGGGACGGCAGGUGACUCGUUGGCUUCGCCAUCGAGUGUUAUCAGCUGACAUCAGUGGUACUGUGCGGUGUGUCGGAGACGGCGGCUUGUGGUGUGUACGUGUGUGCCUGUUCGCUGACAGUGUCGGGUCUGGGUUGUCAUGUGCUUGUAAAAGCAGGCCUGAUGAUGGCUCGGUGUUGUUCGGUGGGCGGUGGCAUGCGGGAAACCUGUAACGAGGGCCAAUAGUCUGUGGUGUAGUGGUAAACCUUCCACCCGACCCGUUGAAACACGGACCAAGGAGAGUAACAUGUGCGCGAGUCAAUGGGCGUUACGAAACCCAAAGGCGUAGUGAAGGUGAAUGUUCGGCUUGUCCGGACUGAGG
RNAcentral lists this ribosomal RNA (971 nucleotides) under Prosorhynchoides aspinosus. RNAcentral describes it as "Prosorhynchoides sp. a LR-2022 partial large subunit ribosomal RNA". It matches the Rfam family "Eukaryotic large subunit ribosomal RNA", at positions 99 to 753 of the family's 3401-position model. Lineage: Eukaryota; Metazoa; Platyhelminthes; Trematoda. The record is from RNAcentral.